GACGAACGCUGGCGGCGUGCCUAAUACAUGCAAGUCGAGCGAAGUUUUUCUGGUGCUUGCACUAGAAAAACUUAGCGGCGAACGGGUGAGUAACACGUAAAGAACCUGCCUCAUAGACUGGGACAACUAUUGGAAACGAUAGCUAAUACCGGAUAACAGUAUUUCUCGCAUGAGAGAUAUUUAAAAGUUGGUUAUGCUAACACUAUGAGAUGGCUUUGCGGUGCAUUAGCUAGUCGGUGGGGUAAAGGCCCACCAAGGCGACGAUGCAUAGCCGACCUGAGAGGGUGAUCGGCCACACUGGGACUGAGACACGGCCCAGACUCCUACGGGAGGCAGCAGUAGGGAAUCUUCCGCAAUGGGCGAAAGCCUGACGGAGCAACGCCGCGUGAGUGAAGAAGGAUUUCGGUUCGUAAAGCUCUGUUGUUAGGGAAGAAUGGAUAUGUAGUAACCAUACAUGUAAGAGACGGUACCUAACCAGAAAGCCACGGCUAACUACGUG
This 499-nucleotide ribosomal RNA is filed under the name uncultured bacterium. RNAcentral's name for it is "partial 16S ribosomal RNA". It matches the Rfam family "Bacterial small subunit ribosomal RNA", at positions 28 to 507 of the family's 1533-position model. The record is from RNAcentral.